Paralichthys olivaceus (Japanese flounder) is the source of this 624-nucleotide non-coding RNA. The record is from RefSeq and is a predicted model, not a curated record. NCBI's taxonomy places the organism in Eukaryota, Metazoa, Chordata, Actinopteri, Pleuronectiformes, Paralichthyidae.
UAAUCACUCACUCAAAUCCUCUCUGCCUCCCUCCUCCUUUCACACUUGCUGUCAAAACUGUGUCUUAUAUAAGGAUUUCUGCGUAAAAUACAAGCGCGUUUAUUCAUCCAGUCGCUCCCCUCUCUCUCUCUUUUAAUGGAAAAACACUGAGAUACACAAACACAUUGACAAUGGACACAGUUGUUAACACAGACCUAGUAAAAGUCGACGGCAAUUGUUGACGUCCGUGCGUAAUUACGCACAGAGCGUGGAAGUGGCCACAGCUGGAGAGGCAUUCCAAAUUAAAUACUUGCGGGGCCAGCAACGGAUGAUUCUACCGGGACGAGGUGUAGCCUCUGCCCGAGAGCCAAGACGAUGUCUGUAGUUUCCCCCCUGACGAGGCUGCGACGCAGAGACACGUUCCUUUUGUUCGGGGCGAUCGUGCUGGUCGCAGCAGUGGCUGUCUACCAUGAGAUUGUCGUUACUAAUUCAUGGAUCCGAUACACAGGCCUGAAAGCUUACAGUAUCAGCAACAUCUGGAGGAAAGCCAAGUCUGACAACUGGGUCAGAGGGGCCGAACAAUACCAUGUGGAAGAUUCAUCUGUGUGGAGCUCCAGAUAUACUCCACAGCCCUGGACACCAAAG